UACGGAGGGGGCUAGCGUUGUUCGGAAUUACUGGGCGUAAAGCGCACGUAGGCGGCUUCGCUAGUCAGAGGUGAAAGCCUGGGGCUCAACCCCAGAACUGCCUUUGAGACUGCGACGCUUGAAUCCGGGAGAGGUGAGUGGAAUUCCGAGUGUAGAGGUGAAAUUCGUAGAUAUUAGGAAGAACACCAGUGGCGAAGGCGGCUCACUGGACCGGCAUUGACGCUGAGGUGCGAAAGCGUGGGGAGCAAACAGG
Molecule: ribosomal RNA, 253 nt
Filed under: uncultured bacterium
Lineage: Bacteria
Description: partial 16S ribosomal RNA
Rfam family: Bacterial small subunit ribosomal RNA
Source: RNAcentral